RNAcentral lists this ribosomal RNA (459 nucleotides) under uncultured bacterium. Its description in RNAcentral is "partial 16S ribosomal RNA". It matches the Rfam family "Bacterial small subunit ribosomal RNA", at positions 338 to 795 of the family's 1533-position model. The record is from RNAcentral.
CCUACGGGUGGCAGCAGUGAGGAAUAUUGGUCAAUGGGCGGAAGCCUGAACCAGCCAAGUAGCGUGCGGGAUGAAGGCCCUACGGGUCGUAAACCGCUUUUGCACGGGGAUAACACCCUCCACGUGUGGAGGUUUGCAGGUACCGUGCGAAUAAGGGCCGGCUAAUUCCGUGCCAGCAGCCGCGGUAAUACGGAAGGCCCGAGCGUUAUCCGGAUUUAUUGGGUUUAAAGGGAGCGUAGGCGGGCGUUCAAGUCAGCUGUAAAAUCGCGGGGCUCAACCGCGCAACGCAGUUGAAAAUGGCAGUCUUGAGUGUGCGAGAGGUAUGCGGAAUGCGUGGUGUAGCGGUGAAAUGCAUAGAUAUCACGCAGAACUCCGAUUGCGAAGGCAGCAUACCGGCGCCCUACUGACGCUGAGGCACGAAAGCGUGGGUAUCGAACAGGAUUAGAUACCCUUGUAGUC